ACCUUACCUGGUCUUGACAUAGUAAGAACUUUCCAGAGAUGGAUUGGUGCCUUCGGGAACUUACAUACAGGUGCUGCAUGGCUGUCGUCAGCUCGUGUCGUGAGAUGUUGGGUUAAGUCCCGCAACGAGCGCAACCCUUUUCCUUAUUUGCCAGCACUUUGGGUGGGAACUUUAAGGAUACUGCCAGUGACAAACUGGAGGAAGGCGGGGACGACGUCAAGUCAUCAUGGCCCUUACGACCAGGGCUACACACGUGCUACAAUGGUCGGUACAAAGGGUUGCUACCUAGCGAUAGGAUGCUAAUCUCAAAAAGCCGAUCGUAGUCCGGAUUGGAGUCUGCAACUCGACUCCAUGAAGUCGGAAUCGCUAGUAAUCG
RNAcentral lists this ribosomal RNA (376 nucleotides) under uncultured Acinetobacter sp. RNAcentral describes it as "bacterial SSU rRNA". It matches the Rfam family "Bacterial small subunit ribosomal RNA", at positions 968 to 1344 of the family's 1533-position model. Lineage: Bacteria; Pseudomonadati; Pseudomonadota; Gammaproteobacteria; Moraxellales; Moraxellaceae. The record is from RNAcentral.